ACAUCCAGAGAACUUAGCAGAGAUGGCUUUUGGGUGCCUUCGGGAACUCUGAGACAGGUGCUGCAUGGCUGUCGUCAGCUCGUGUUGUGAAAUGUUGGGUUAAGUCCCGNAACGAGCGCAACCCUUAUCCUUUGUUGCCAGCGGUUCGGCCGGGAACUCAAAGGAGACUGCCGGUGAUAAACCGGAGGAAGGUGGGGAUGACGUCAAGUCAUCAUGGCCCUUACGGCCAGGGCUACACACGUGCUACAAUGGCGCAUACAAAGAGAAGCGACCUCGCGAGAGCAAGCGGACCUCAUAAAGUGCGUCGUAGUCCGGAUUGGAGUCUGCAACUCGACUCCAUGAAGUCGGAAUCGCUAGUAAUCGUAGAUCAGAAUGCUACGGUGAAUACGUUCCCGGGCCUUGUACACACCGCCCGUCACACCAUGGGAGUGGGUUGCAAAAGAAGUAGGUAGCUUAACCUUCGGGAGGGCGCUUACCACUUUGUGAUUCAUGACUGGGGUGAAGUCGUAACAAGGUAAGCGUAGCGAG
This 528-nucleotide ribosomal RNA is filed under the name uncultured bacterium. Its description in RNAcentral is "bacterial SSU rRNA". It matches the Rfam family "Bacterial small subunit ribosomal RNA", at positions 984 to 1509 of the family's 1533-position model. The record is from RNAcentral.